RNAcentral lists this ribosomal RNA (372 nucleotides) under uncultured organism. Its description in RNAcentral is "bacterial SSU rRNA". It matches the Rfam family "Bacterial small subunit ribosomal RNA", at positions 526 to 896 of the family's 1533-position model. The record is from RNAcentral.
CAGAGGGUGCGAACGUUGCUCGGAAUUACUGGGCGUAAAGCGCGUGUAGGCGGGUCGGCAAGUCAGGCGUGAAAUCCCCUGGCUCAACCUGGGAACUGCGCUUGAAACUGCCGGUCUUGAGUAUCGGAGAGGGUGGCGGAAUUCCUGGUGUAGAGGUGAAAUUCGUAGAUAUCAGGAGGAACACCGGUGGCGAAGGCGGCCACCUGGACGAUUACUGACGCUGAGACGCGAAAGCGUGGGGAGCAAACAGGAUUAGAUACCCUGGUAGUCCACGCCGUAAACGAUGGGUGCUAGGUGUCUCGGGUAUUGACCCCUGAGGUGCCGUAGCUAACGCGUUAAGCACCCCGCCUGGGAAGUACGGCCGCAAGGCUA